CUCGUAGGCGGCCAACUAAGUCACACGUGAAAUCCCCAGGCUUAACCUGGGAACUGCGUGUGAUACUGGAUGGCUUGAAUUCGGGAGAGGGAUGCAGAAUUCCAGGUGUAGCGGUGAAAUGCGUAGAUAUCUGGAGGAAUACCGGUGGCGAAGGCGGCAUCCUGGACCGACAUUGACGCUGAGGAGCGAAAGCUAGGGGAGCAAAC
RNAcentral lists this ribosomal RNA (206 nucleotides) under uncultured bacterium. Its description in RNAcentral is "partial 16S ribosomal RNA". It matches the Rfam family "Bacterial small subunit ribosomal RNA", at positions 568 to 773 of the family's 1533-position model. The record is from RNAcentral.